This 6932-nucleotide long non-coding RNA is filed under the name Homo sapiens (human). Its description in RNAcentral is "HSALNT0302423". The record is from RNAcentral. Lineage: Eukaryota; Metazoa; Chordata; Mammalia; Primates; Hominidae.
CCCCUAGCAGAGCACUGGUCACUGGUCUCUGGAGUUAAAUUGGAGGUGGGGUUGGGGGACCUGAGUUGAUGCAUUCAUGCAUCCAUCGAUCCAUCCAUCCAUUGAUCCAAAUCUUUUUUUUCUUUUUUUUUUUUUUUUGAGAUGGAGUCUCGCUUUCUCACCCAGGUGGAGUGCGGUGGCACAAUCUCGGCUUACUGCAACCUCCGCCUCUCGGGUUCAAGUGAUUCUCCUGCCUCAGCCUCCGGAGUAGCUGGAACUACAGGCGCCCACCACCAUGCCUGGCUAAUUUUUGUAUUUCAGUAGAGACAGGGUUUCACCAUAUUGGCCAGGGUGGUCUCAAACUCCUGACUUUGUGAUCCUCCCACCUCGGCCUCCCAUAGUGCUGGGAUUACAGGCUUGAGCCACUGUGCCCGGCCCAUCCAUCCAAAUCUUUACUGAGUACUUACUGUAUACCAAGUGCCACAUCAAGUGCUGGGGAUAAAGAUAAAUAAAAAUCUGAUCCCUGUUUCCAGAUGGCUCACAGCUGCUGUAGUCCUUCAGAGAAAUUUAAGCUCAUCUAGGCCCCUCCAGGCUGUGGACUUCAGAGGAAGCAUUUUUCUUUGGGGUGGCCUUAUGGCAGUGUUUCUCAAACCUGGCUAUAUUAUUAUUAUUAUUAUUUUGAGAUGGAGUCUUACUCUGUUGCUCAGGCUGGAGUGCAGUGCGAUAGCUCACUGCAACCUCUGCCUCCCAGGUUCAAGUGAUUUUCCUGCCUCAGCCUCCCGAGUAGCUGGGACGACAGGCGUGAGCCACCACGCCUGGCUAGUUUUUUUAUUUUUAGUAGAGACGGGGUUUUCCCAUGUUGGCCAGACUGGUCUUGAACUCCUGACCUCAAGUGAUCCACCCGCCUUGGCCUCCCAAAGUGUUGGGAUUACAGGUGUGAGCCACCAUGCCUGGCCAAACCUGACUAUAUUAGAAUAACUUGAAAGCUUUUAAAUCAUCUCAAUGUUUAGGUUUCACUUCAUGCUAAUUAAAUCGGAAUCUCUGGCGGGGGUGGGCGGUGGGGAGGGAGCCAGAUUCCAAGUAUUUUAAGAUCUCUCCAGAUACAAGGUGUAGCCAGAGGGAAGAACACUGCUCUCCAGGUGUUGUAAAGUUGUAGAACCAGAAGAACAAGCCCCAGACUACAAUUGACUUGAGGGGCAGCACUGCCCGUACCCUGGAGGCCAUGGGACCACCUUGUCCAUGACUCUCUGUUUGUUGGUUUAACACCUGUUGACUGAUGAGAGCUUGAGCUAUGGGCAGGAUCCUUCAGGUGAGAGACACAGGCCUAGUGAGCUGAGGAGCUCCAGGACCCUGUGCAGAAGGGAAGUUCCUACAUUGUCUUUCUUCCUGACACCCCAUACCCUUCUUCAUUAAUGCCAAAUUUCACCCCACAGCGUUCUCAAGACUCAGAUUAAUUAUGUUCAGUUCCCCCAUACUAGCAAGGAUAGCUCAGGCUUAGGGCAGAGUGAGGUGGUGAUGGUGCAGCCUGGUCACAGUAAAUGGUCUCAAACAGCACAUUCUGAUCAACUCUGCUGUGAUGGGAGGGAAGGUCAGUAUCUUCUAUGAUAUAAUCCACUGAGAUGAUGUUUCCUGCUUUCUUUUUUUUUCUUUUUUUGGGAUGGAGUGUUGCUCUGUCACCCAGGCUGGAGUGCAGUGGUGCAAUCUUGGCUCACUGCAACCGCUGCCUCCUGGGUUCAAGCAAUUCUAGUGGCUCAACCUCCCAAGUAGCUAGGAUUACAGGCCCGCACCACCACACCCGGCUAACUUCUUAUAUUUUGUGUAGAGAUGGGGUUUCACCAUGUUGGCCAGGCUGGUCUCGAACUCCCAACCUCAGGUGAUCCACCCGCCUCGGCCUCCCAAAGUGCUGGGAUUAGAGGUUUGAGCCACCGUGCCUGGCCCCUGCUUUCUUUUAUAACUUGGCUAGAGAGGCAAAUUGAACCAUUUGCAUCAUCAUGCCAGAGAAACCAGUUUUAAGGUCUUCAUACAAGGUUCCAAAUGGUCUAUUCUAAAAGUUACUUGUGCUAGUUUUAGGUUAGAGGGUUUAAACAAAAUCAGAGUAUUAGCUUUUGUUUUGCUCAACAAAAAGGGAAAGAGAGGCAGGCAGAAAGUCAGGCAGGCUGGAAUGCCUAUUGGAAACUCCUGGAUCUGCAGGUUUCCCCUGAAAUCUGGGUGAUAAACUAACUCCUGUUGUUUUCCGUUGAUCCUAGAGAUGGUCUCGAGGACUAGAACAAAAGGUCCAAAGCAGUUUUUGCAUAGACUUGAAGUGGUAAUUAUGCUUUUGAGAGAGAAGCACAAUAGGCUCAGGCUGUGGGCUUGCCCACGUGGUGUGAGAGGGACAAGAGCACAGGCUCCCUUUGUAGUCCAUUCCUAUUGCUCUACUUAGAGCAGGUGCUCCGGGAGGCCCUGAAGGAAAUAAGCACUUGGCUAAAGCCUGGCCAGGGUAACCACACUUAUUUUUCAAACUGAGAACCCAUACCAAUCAUCUUUUCUAAUUUUGGGAGUGCAGACACGUAUGAAGCUUUUUGUGAAAAUGAUCCUGUUUAUAAUACUGCAUUUUUUUCAGAGUCAUUGGUGUAGUUAACUGAUUCAAUCAACAAGAAUUUAUUGAGAAGGAGUCUCACUCAUUUACUCCACAAACAUCUACUAAAGUUCUUCUAGGUAUAGGUUCUGUGCUGAGUGUUUAAGAGAUACAGACACAAACAUGAUUCCUACUCUACCAGAAACUUAACAGUCUAGAAGGUGAGACAGACUCUGAAGCAGCUACCCAAAUGCACUGUGGAAAAGUGCAUAGUUCCAGGCUUGGACAAACAUAUGCACUUAGGGAUCCCAGAGGAAAGGGUAAUAAACUGCCUGGGGACUAGGGAGGGCUUCGCUGAAGAGCUGAUGGCUGGGAGAGUCAAUAGAGUUUCCAUCAAAGAAAGAAACAGCAGAACCACAGGUGUGUGGGUGGGGGAUCUUACCUAAGUUUUGGGGCUGAGGGAGUGGUCGGGGAAGAGACCAGUGUAUUAAGACCUUGUGGGCCAUGCUGUGGGGUGUGAAGUUUAUCUGUCAACAGGGCCUCGGGGUUGUUUUCGGCAUGACUGCUACAGAAUCAUAUCUUGUUUCAGAAAGGCUGGCAUGCAGUGCAGAGGAAAGAUUUAGGAGUAGAUUAUAGACACAGGGAAGUUGGGAGGAGGUAAGGGUUGCUGAGCAAAGGCAGUGGCAGAGAGAGAGAGGCAAGAGAUGGGUGAGCGAAUUCAGGGGAGGUGCCCCUAAGUGAUGACAGAUUCUCUAUGGGCAUGAGGGAAAGGGAGGGAAUGGGACAAGGUCAGGUGCUCUGGCUGUGGUGGAUAGGUGGGCAAUGGUGCCAUUAGCCGAGAUAGCCUGGGAUCUUCUCAUCACUCAUCCUUUUAAAGUCUGUUUCCCAGUCCUGGCCACAUGUUAGCAUCAUUAAAGCUUCAAACACAUACCCAUAUUUGGGCCCCAUCCCCUACUAAUCGGGCUCUAUGAAGAUGAGGCUCAGGUGUUGAUGUUUAUAAAGGCUCAUGCAGCCGGGGUUGAGAACUACUGACGUGAUCCCCUAGGCAGAGAUCAUUCCUCCCUGCUCUGCAUAUGCCUUUGUCUUCCAGACCUCUGUUAUUGCUCUCCCAUGAGUAUUUAUUUAUUUAUUUAUUUAUUUAUGAGACGGAGUCUCGCUCUGCCACCCAGGCUGGAGUGCAAUGGCACCAUCUUGGCUCACUGCAACCUCCACCUCCUGUGUUCAAGAGAUUUUUCUGCCUCAGCCUCCCAAGUAGCUGGGACUACAGGUGCGCACCACCACGCCUGGCUAAUUUUCGUGUUUUUAGUAGAGAUGGGGUUUCGCCAUAUUGGCCAGGCUGGUCUCAAACUCCUGACCUCGUGACCUGCCCAGUUUGGCCUCCCAAAGUGCUGGGAUUAUAGGCAUGAGCCACUGCGUCCGGCCUCCCAUGAGUAUUUAUUAGCAGUGGAGCUCACCAAGAACAAUGACAAGAAUGGACAUUUCCAGGGAAACUGGCUGGACCUGAUCUUGGCCUUCAGGAAUUCUUUUGUAAAACCGUCAUAUCACCAGGCCCACAGAGGACAACAUUUUACAGGCAUUUCAGUCAAUUACACAGUGAUAAUUCACUGAACAAAUCCUUUGGGAUCACAGCUGCUUUAUUGAGAUCAGGUCUGUGCACAAAGAGGAGGCCCAGGGAAAACACAGUGGGGCUGUGUCAGGUGGCGUCCAGAGGGCAUGGUGCAGCUGUGGGCCUGGCUUGGGGCAGGACAUUUCUGGGAUUACAGGGCCCUGCCCCAAGCUUCUCCGUUGAGGGGGUAGGGAGGGCAAUGCAGAGAGUGAGAGGGUGCCAGGGCAGGCUAUAAGCUAAUUUGCCUCUUGAGAAGUAGGGUAAUAAUAAGGUUGGAGCAGAGAGGAAAUCUUUGUCCUAAGGCAGUGCUUCUCAAACUUUUGUGGGCCCAGGAAUCACCUUGUUAAAAUGUGGAUUUUGACUGAGCAAGUGGGAUCUGGAAUACUGUGUUUCUAACAAGUGCUGAUGUGACGCCAAUGCAUCUGGCCCAAGGAAUACGCUUAGAAUAGCAGGAUCCCAGAAUGCAUCUCUAUUUUUCUAUAUGACUUUUAGAUCAGUUGUGUAUUUAGAGAACAUAAAGUUUUUAAAAAGCUCUUUAAAAUUUUAUCCUUUUCAAGAUUGUCUCGGAAAACUUUGCAUUAUUUGAAAAGAUACUUCGAAAAUGGAAACUGAAUGAAUAGCACUGGAGUGCAGUGGCGAGGUCUCAGCUCACUGCAACCUCUACCUCCCAGGCUCAAGCCAUCCUCCCACCUCAGCCUCCCAAGUAGCUGGGACCACAGCACGUGCCAUCACACCUGGUUAAUUUUUUGUAUUUUUGGUAGAGAUGAGGUUUUGCCGUGUUGCUCAGGCUGGUCUCGAACUUCUCAGCUCAGGCAACCCACCCGCCUUGGCCUUCCGAGUGCUGGGAUUAUAGGUAUAAGCUACCUACCGCACCUGGCAAGAACAUAUAAACUAGUCUACUAUGUUCUAAUUAUAAAACUUUUUUUUAAAUUUUUUUUCCUUCCUGGGAAUUUGAGGGAUCAGGAUUGACCUUUUUUACUGGGGAAAUCACCUGUGAUUUCUGGAAAGGUGGGGAGGGCUGCUGGUCCCUUAAUGUCCCUUCUAACCAGCUUGUCAAUGCUUAGUAUUCCUUUGACAGUGGGCAGGUCUUUCAUUUUGCAACAAAGGUUUGCCUGAGGCACUAGCUCACAGACUUCAUUCAUACUAAGGUGUGAAUGACAGCAGAGGAGCUUAGGCUUUGUUGGGGUGAUAGAGAGAGAAAGAGAAAGGAAGAAAGAGAAAGACAGCUGAAGACAAAUGAGGAUGCUGGUUAGCCAGAGGAGGUGUAUAUGGUGGCACAGAAUUAUUAAGGGGAAUGAGAGUGGUGGAGGAGCAAUUAAAUAUAUCUACCUCUAACUUCCCAAUUUUUCGACUUUUCUCUUUUUUUCUUCUGCCCUGUCAUCAGCACGUUGGUUGCUCUCUCCUCCUCCACUCUGUCAUCCUCUUGCUAUUCUUUCCCUUCGGCCCUCUAACAGUUCAGUUUCAGGUGUAAAAUAUUUUGGUUCAGGAGGGACUGGAUAUCAACUAGACCUAAGAUUUUGUGAUUUACAUUCCCCGUCCUAAGAAAAGGAAUUAUGUUGAGUGAACAAUGACCAAAGCUGGACAGUUCCCCCUGGUGGUCAGCACUGCGACAACACGAUUUUCCUCUAUCUUUUAUUCAUUAAUUGGUGAAUUUGAAAAUAAUCUGUUAAGCCCCAAACAUGACAGACAUUGUGCUAAGGACAGACAUGACACCUGUCCCUGUGGGGCAGAAAGUCUGAAGAGGGAGUGUGUUACUAAACAUUGUAGAGCAUUUAGCAUUUUCAAAAGCCUUAAAAAAUAAGCCAGAAAACUUGAAAGGAAAAAGGCUUUUACCAUUUUUAAAGAAAAGCAGGUAGAAAGGUUUUGUUUCUGACAUUUUUUGUACCACUAAGUCUUCAAUUUGGGUUUAGUUCUUCAAUUUUCAUCGUAAAAUUUCCCCAAAUAAUUUUUUCUUAUAAAGUGUGAGUAUCAAAUCAGAUCAUGUGUAGUAUAAUUUUUAACUCCGAAUGUGUAACAUUCACAGUCCCUUUAUUAGCAAAAUUAUAGUAAUUAAAUAAUACUGGCUUUAUAAUUGAAUAGCACUUUGCAAAAUAAUAUGUCUGGCUCAUCUAUAUUGCUAUAGAAUACUACUGCCCCAGUGCUGUAUGCAUAUGAACUGGUUAAUCCUCACAACAGCCCUUAUAAGGUUCAGGUUAUCCUCAUUAUCCACAUUUUUAGAUGAAGAAACUGAGGCUCAGAGAGAUAAGCAAUUUGUAACCCUAGCCUUAACCACUUUGCCAUAACAAGACAGAAGAAUGCCUGCAGUAAGUGUAAAUGAACUUACUGUAUCCUCACUGCAGACAGAGGACUAAAAAGAGUAAUGGGGUUUGCAAUCUUUCUGGGUGUGUGUGUAUGAGAAUGAAGUUAUCACUUGCCUCCAGUGAUCAGGUUGUUAAGAGCACCUCAGAGGCCACUGUUGUCCUACCCUUCCUGUAAGUGGUAGAGAUGGCUAAUGAGCAUCUGUUGGUUAACUGAUUGAUGAUUUCUCAAGGCUUUUUACAGCCUUAGAAUUCUAUUAGUCACUCUACAAGAAACAGGUUGUAUGGAACGAAAGGUAAUUUAUCUUUUAAGAAUUAAGUGAAAUCCUUUAAACUCUUGUUUUUGUGCCUAAAGCUAUAUUCUGAUGGAAAUGCUCUUUCUCUAGCUAUGUCAGUGGUACAGUAAUUUAAUCUGGUUCUUGAAAUUACUCUUUAUCUCAUACAUUUAUUUAAGUAAAGAUAGCCACAUUAGAUAUGGAGAUGCUAUGAACAA